Molecule: ribosomal RNA, 412 nt
Filed under: uncultured bacterium
Lineage: Bacteria
Description: bacterial SSU rRNA
Rfam family: Bacterial small subunit ribosomal RNA
Source: RNAcentral
GUGUCAGCAGCCGCGGUAAUACGUAGGUGGCAAGCGUUGUCCGGAAUUAUUGGGCGUAAAGAGCGUGUAGGCGGGAAGUUAAGUCUAUCUUAAAAGUGCGGGGCUCAACCCCGUGAGGGGAUAGAAACUGACUUUCUUGAGUGUCGGAGAGGAAAGUGGAAUUCCCAGUGUAGCGGUGAAAUGCGUAGAUAUUGGGAGGAACACCAGUGGCGAAGGCGACUUUCUGGACGAUAACUGACGCUGAGGCGCGAAAGCCAGGGGAGUGAACGGGAUUAGAUACCCCGGUAAUCCUGGCCGUAAACGAUGGGUACUAGGUGUAGAGGGUAUCGACCCCUUCUGUGCCGGAGUUAACGCAAUAAGUACCCCGCCUGGGGAGUACGGCCGCAAGGUUGAAACUCAAAGGAAUUGGCGG